CGGGGCCGGCGGCGGCGGCUGCGCGGCUCAGGCGGCCGUGGGCCCGGCCGCCGCGCUCACCCGCUCGCUCGUGGCCGCCGCGGCCGCCGCCGCCUCCUCCGUCUCGUCGUCGGCCGCGCUGGGGACGCUGCACCCGGGGCCCGCCCUGUCCAGCGUGGAGAGCUUCGCGGCUAGGAUUUCCAAUUGUUAAUAACGCGGCGCCGGCGCGCCCGAGCGGGAGAAGCUCGGCCCGGAGAGAGGAGGCUGGAACCGAGGAGGUGCGGACGCCGCCGCGGCCGGGGGAGAGGGGUCAGCCGGCCGACCCCAGCGGCCCUGCCCCGCUGGCCUCUCGCGGCCUGUGUCACGCGUGGAUCUGAGUCAUGAAGGGAGCCGCGGGGCCAAACUGUGUGUAUCGUUACUAUUCGCAUGAUGCUUGGAUGUCCCGAGAGCGGGAAGUACCGGCUCGGCCCUCUCUCUGUCCGGAUUCCCGCCUCUUUGAGACAGGGGCGGACAGCGCCACCUCCCAGGCCGUCCGAGCUCCGAAGGGGGCGGCGAGCAGGCCCCGGCCCUCCCUCCGCGCCGCCCUCGCUGCGGCCCCAGCUGCGCUCCCGCCGCGCCCUCCCGAGAGACGAGAGACUGGGCGCAUCGCGAGCCCCUGAGCCCUCAGGACAGGUAACCCCGGCCGCCUGCCUCGGCCUUGAGUUUUGCGUCCCGCGAGUUCCGCUCCCCGCCCUCCGGGUUGGGGGUCCCCCGUGGACUUCGCUGGCCCAGCGAGGCUGGCCUGCGGACGCACGAGGUGGGGGAAGCGCAGGCCGCGGGGCAGGCGAGCAGCGGGCGUGGGCCUCGGGCUGUGGGCCGCAGGCCAGGGCCGCGGGGCAGGCGAGGAGUGGACGCUGGGCCUCGGGCCGCGGGCCGCGCCCGGUCAGGCCACGCGGGCGAGCAGGUGCUGGAACAAAGGCCGCCGGGCGCCCAGCUACCGCGGCCUUUGAUGGGCCAGCACGUCUCCUCCGGGGGCUCCUCAUUCGCAUGCAAAUCCAGCUCGGGUCCCCUUUUCUUUGAAGGCAAACAGAAGGAUGUUUGUGUGUUUGUAAGGACGAAGUCUGCUUGAACGAGCCUUCCUCAAAAGCCUGGGUCUCGAAAAAUAAACCAGUUGGACAAACAUUGGCCACCAGCUCUCCUCCUCCCAGCUACAAAGUGUGGAUUUGAUACAACUCAUUAACCCGACGCUUUUCUCCCCUUCUCCUUGUUUCUCUGCUCAUCAAACGCCCCGUAGAGCCUGGAGACAAAUGACCGGAGGGCAGGCGGGAGGGAAUUGCAGUUAAUAGGGAGAGGGCUAUAUUGGGGCUAAUGGUUCAGGCGGCUCCCGAGCGAGCAGGACCACACAAAAAGGAGCCUCUCCAUUCAGGGCUCUGUUGUGCUGCCCAGAUGUAAUCUGCAGCUAGAUUUAGCCGAAUGUUAUCUAUUGCCGAGGUAAUGAAGCCCUUAUGGGUUGAAUUGCUCCUUGUCCCACACACGGUGUCGUGACCUUAGAUCGUUUCUUGGUUGAUUUCUUUUUUCUCCAUUGGGCAAUUAUUUUAUUUCUUUAAAAUAAGCUAGCGCGUCUGCUCAAUAACGUGUUUCCUCUCCAUCGCUAUCCCGUGCAUUUAUUUGAGAGCC
Long non-coding RNA from Equus caballus (horse), 1635 nucleotides. The record is from Ensembl. Lineage: Eukaryota; Metazoa; Chordata; Mammalia; Perissodactyla; Equidae.